Molecule: ribosomal RNA, 439 nt
Filed under: uncultured Virgisporangium sp.
Lineage: Bacteria; Bacillati; Actinomycetota; Actinomycetes; Micromonosporales; Micromonosporaceae
Description: bacterial SSU rRNA
Rfam family: Bacterial small subunit ribosomal RNA
Source: RNAcentral
CCUACGGGAGGCAGCAGUGGGGAAUAUUGCACAAUGGGCGGAAGCCUGAUGCAGCGACGCCGCGUGAGGGAUGACGGCCUUCGGGUUGUAAACCUCUUUCGACCCUGACGAAGCGCAAGUGACGGUAGGGGGAGAAGAAGCACCGGCCAACUACGUGCCAGCAGCCGCGGUAAGACGUAGGGUGCGAGCGUUGUCCGGAUUUAUUGGGCGUAAAGAGCUCGUAGGCGGCUCGUCGCGUCGACCGUGAAAACCCGCGGCUUAACUGCGGGCUUGCGGUUGAUACGGGCGGGCUAGAGUUCGGUAGGGGAGACUGGAAUUCCUGGUGUAGCGGUGAAAUGCGCAGAUAUCAGGAGGAACACCGGUGGCGAAGGCGGGUCUCUGGGCCGAUACUGACGCUGAGGAGCGAAAGCGUGGGGAGCGAACAGGAUUAGAUACCCUU